AUCCAGCUGACGCGUCUUAAGUAGGACGAAACGCGCGUCCUGGAU
RNAcentral lists this non-coding RNA (45 nucleotides) under Schistosoma margrebowiei. The record is from RNAcentral. Lineage: Eukaryota; Metazoa; Platyhelminthes; Trematoda; Strigeidida; Schistosomatidae.